RNAcentral lists this ribosomal RNA (541 nucleotides) under Furcaspis capensis. Its description in RNAcentral is "eukaryotic LSU rRNA". Lineage: Eukaryota; Metazoa; Arthropoda; Insecta; Hemiptera; Diaspididae. The record is from RNAcentral.
AUCUGGGCGGUGGAAUUCAGGAUGACUGUGCGUGUGUGUGUUUUGCCGCGCGCGUACGGUCGUUUGAUAUUUCCGUCGUCGUCGAACAGACACAGACGUCGCGACCUGUUCGUCGUCGGUCCCUGUUCGAAGGAGCCGCGGUCGAGUUCGUUGUGGGCGCGUUUACGCGCGUCACACGGCGAAGCCGCGUGCCUCUGGCCGAUCGACGGACAGUAUGUUUGCAAACACGGUGUCCGUUGCCGUCGUCUCGUACGCGCGGUCAACGGUACCGGUCGGCGACGAAUUCUUCGGGCCUCUUUCCGACCCGUCUUGAAACACGGACCAAGGAGUCUAACGUGCGCGCGAGUCGCGGGGUUACAUAACGAAACCCGUGUUGUGCGUUCGCGCACUCGAAGGCGUAAUGAAAGUGAAUGGGGAGGAUGGCGUUCCGAGUACACGUUCCGCGAUCGCUGGUAUCGCGGCCGGACGUCCGCAUUCCCAGGGCGUCUCAGCGGCCCGUCGCGAAUGUCGGGCGGUCUUCCGCCGGUUCGCGUCGAACCGA